UGAUGUGUCAAGGGAAUGGGUGCCCGCCGCGCGGCGGGUGAAAAGGGAAUCCAGUGUGAAUCUGGAGCGGUCCUCGCCACGGUGACGCGGAUCGCGGCGGCAGGGGAGUUCUCCAGCCACUCGGAUGUCGAAUGACGUCGACACCGGGGAAGGCGCCGUCCGCGGAUGAAGCGAAGCCCGGAGACCUGCCCAUUCUCGAAGGAUCCG
Molecule: non-coding RNA, 207 nt
Filed under: Alicyclobacillus acidocaldarius
Lineage: Bacteria; Bacillati; Bacillota; Bacilli; Caryophanales; Alicyclobacillaceae
Also listed under: 1 other name
Source: RNAcentral